Long non-coding RNA from Triticum aestivum (bread wheat), 773 nucleotides. RefSeq lists it as uncharacterized. The transcript has 2 exons. The record is from RefSeq and is a predicted model, not a curated record. NCBI's taxonomy places the organism in Eukaryota, Viridiplantae, Streptophyta, Magnoliopsida, Poales, Poaceae.
UAUGACUCAUAGGCUAUGCGCGGCUCGGCUUCACAUAGAACAGAGCAGUUGAUGACUCCAGAUCCUGCGCCGCCAGGAUUCAGCCCCGCCGCCGAUGCCGGGAAUCGCCUCGCCGCCGCCACCGAGAUCGCCUCCCGCCGCCGGGAUUCGCUUCAGCGCCGCCGUCGGGAGUGUCCUCCGCGCCGCUGCUAGGAGUCGCCCAAACUUGCGUUAGCAAGAGGUAGCAUUAUCUAUUUGCUACAAUCUGAAGAAGUGGAGGGCCAGGAAACCAAAGCUUCUUAAUUGUUUGUACAAGACUAGAGUCAACUGGAUUGCUGCUGGCAGAGUGUUAUAGUAGAACAUUAAAAAGGCAUAAGCUUAUCCCCCUGCAUGCUUGAAGAGCUUCAGUCAAGAUGGCACUGCAUAGCAUUGGUGCUUCGAACAAGGAUGAUGCCUUGUACAGGUGCAAGAUGCCUAGAAUCCUAACCGAAGUAAAAGGAUGUGGUAGGCAUCAACAUGAGGGAGCGAAGAGCAAACUGGAGGCCACCUACUCGCGCAAUAGCUACAACACUCCCCCGUCGUUCUAUCCAAAGGCUCUCAAGUAUAAUGUUGGAAUAACACAUCUGCUGAAAAAACCGUUGAAGAGAACGCAAUGGUUGCUGAUGGAGCAGACUUAGACUAGGAAUGUCAAAUCUUGAAAAUGUGAUGUUGAAUUCAUGACAACUUUGUACCAGCCUAUAGCUGAUUGUUCUCCCUGACAAUACAUUUUGGAUAAUAUAAAAUCUUCAUUUUGA